GCCCGGUUAGCUCAGUCGGUAGAGCGUGGGACUUUUAAUCCUAAGGUCGUGGGUUCGACCCCCACACCGGGCG
This 73-nucleotide transfer RNA is filed under the name Thrips palmi. RNAcentral's name for it is "tRNA-Lys". It matches the Rfam family "tRNA". Rfam says of the family: Transfer RNA (tRNA) molecules are approximately 80 nucleotides in length. The record is from Rfam by way of RNAcentral. Lineage: Eukaryota; Metazoa; Arthropoda; Insecta; Thysanoptera; Thripidae.